AUUGAACGCUGGCGGAAUGCUUUACACAUGCAAGUCGAGCGGCAGCGCGGCCUUCGGGCUGGCGGCGAGCGGCGAACGGGUGAGUAAUGCAUCGGAACAUGCCCAGUCGUGGGGGAUAACACUUCGAAAGAAGUGCUAAUACCGCAUACGUCCUGAGGGGGAAAGCGGGGGAUCGCAAGACCUCGCGCGAUUGGAGUGGCCGAUGUCAGAUUAGCUAGUUGGUGGGGUAAAGGCCUACCAAGGCGACGAUCUGUAGCUGGUCUGGGAGGAUGAUCAGCCACACUGGGACUGAGACACGGCCCAGACUCCUACGGGAGGCAGCAGUGGGGAAUUUUGGACAAUGGGGGCAACCCUGAUCCAGCCAUUCCGCGUGAGUGAAGAAGGCCUUCGGGUUGUAAAGCUCUUUCGGCAGGAACGAAACGGUGGGCUCUAACAUAGUCCGCUAAUGACGGUACCUGAAGAAGAAGCACCGGCUAACUACGUG
This 484-nucleotide ribosomal RNA is filed under the name uncultured bacterium. RNAcentral describes it as "partial 16S ribosomal RNA". It matches the Rfam family "Bacterial small subunit ribosomal RNA", at positions 29 to 507 of the family's 1533-position model. The record is from RNAcentral.